CGAUUGAUUCUUAUUGACAGUAACAUGCUGAGUGAUACCGCGUUCAUAUUAAUUGAUUUCAAUGAAUUUCACGCCGCUCCUCUUUGGUUGUGAAUCAGAAAGCAGAAAACCGCCGAGCAACGCGGCAUCGAUUGCUCAGGAGAAAGCGAAGGCGACUGCGUGUCCGUGGAGGAGUGAUCAAUAACAGCUAAAUGAAAAGGGACAACAAAGGUUUGGACUGAACGUGACGCAAACCCCCAAAAGCACACAAACAAUGUAUGAGAUCUAUGAGAACUCAACUCCAACAAAGACUAAAAGCCCGAUAAUAACAAGGCUCAGAGAAAAACACAAACUAAAUGGAUUUGCUUUUCAAAAUUGGAACCGAAAGGUUUUUAAGCGCCAACUGACUUUUAACACAACAGACUUUUUGGUGAGUCGUUGCGUGUUGUCGCUUGUCCGCGGCCCAACAGCGGCCUUCUACUUCCGCCGAUCACAUUCAUGCUUCCAAAACACCUCGUUUUCACCCAGACCACAAAGUCCCGCUGGCUUUUUCUCUACUCACGACCAUUUUGAUCACACAUUUUACGAGAUCCUGCUAUGACGUUAGCGGGAGAUGGAGGUGUGUUGGUGCAUGUUGGUAUUAGAGCUCUGGUGUAACACCUGGAGCGUUUAGGCUUAUGACGAGUCUCAAGAAAAAGAAUGCAAGUCAAUGGGAAAAGUUUCAAGAGAGCACUGCAGGUCUUCCUCAUGUGAUCGUUCUCCAUCACACACUCAGGAGCAGGUCCAGCACUUUGUCCAGCAGAUGGCAGGAAGUGUCUGCGAGUGGAAAAACGAAAUGUUUCAAACACAUAAUGGACAACAAACUAUUUGAAUAACAGUCAAUAAAAAACAAUUUUGCAUAACCAGAGCACAUUUGUUUGUCAUUAAGUUGUGUUUAUUCUAUCCAGAAGACGUUUUGAUCACACGAUCACGUUCACGUGGAGCAAUAACGUGUCAACGAGAUGAACACUGAAGAGAAAACCACAACAAAUGAAUCUCCGUCCAAAAUAACAGAUAUACAUGUAAAACUAGUGCGACACGGUGGCGUGGUGGUUAGCACUGUCGCCUCACAGCAAGAAGGUCCUGGGUUCGACUCCGUCCAGUGGCCUUUCUGUGUAGAGUCUGCAUGUUCUCCCUGUGUCUGCGUGGGUUCUCUCCGGGUUCUCCCGCAGUCCAAAGACGUGCACUGGGGAUCAGGUUGAUUGGGGACUCUAAAUUGCGAUAAGAUGCAAUAAGAGGUUUGACGAUGGAUGGAUGGACAUGUAAAGCUAUCCGGUGCCGGCCAUGAAGGUAGAUUUUAUUCAUAGUGAUCACUUCCCCUAGUGUUCAACUCAAAGCACUACACACAGUUGUGGCCUUUGUUUUACCCCGGGGGAGAAAGGUUCACAGAGAAUGGAAGAAACACAAACGUGUCAACGCACCGACUAACGUGAUGCUUUUAGGCUUGCUGCUGCGGCUCUGCGUCGCCACGGCAACUGCGGGCUGCGAGCCGGCGGCGUUGGCUGCGCCUCACAUUUGGGAGAGAGUUUGCGUUGCAGUGACGGAAGAGCACCACCGCGGGGCGGAAGCGUCGUUUUCUAGUUCUGGGAUGACGGGGAUGCUGUCACAUCUGAUCACACAAUGCACGUGUGAACACGUGUGUGUAUGCGUGUGUGUACAUGUAUGCAGAAGCAUUGCAGAUGCAGCCGAGCUGAGCUGCAAACGUGCUGCAUCAACCUUUCGCCGUCACUGUCACCGUGGUGAAUUUGUCCCGUGGAUGCGGCGCAGCCAGAGCGUGUUAGUGGCAUCUGGUUCCCAUAUUGUUACAAAGUUACAGCAGGGCCUUGAUUAUUGCUAAUAUAUAAUAUGUUUUAUAUCCCGGACGCAGCAGGAUCCACACAGGAGGGGCUUCGUCUCCAGGCUGUCGCUCAUAUCCUAAUUUUCAACUCCACCGUGGGCCCCGCUGUCUGACUCUCUCCCUCCCUCUCAUGCACCCCCCCUCCUCCCCCCUCAUCUCCCAUGCACACAUCAAAGUGUGUUCUGAGUAAAGAUGGAACAGGCUCCUUUGAUCUCUCCCUGUCGGCUCUGAUUAAUGUGUGGAUUUACAGUGCAGACCUACGGGGACCUGGCAGCCAUGACACCCCCCCCCCCCCCCUUCUGCUGCACUGGAAUCUGGUUUUCCUCAACAACAAAAAACAAUCGCGGCCACUGAUUUGUAUUAAUUGCUCCUUUCGGGAUGCUUGUGACACCAAACGAACCUUUAGCGCUCCGACUUGUUCUCACACAGUCGACCUCAGACGGCCAACCCAAACGGUCCAUAAGAAACCUCGCCGCAACUCACAGCGCCGCACCUUACCGACCAGAGGGAAGUCGAAGUCUGCUUUGUGAAAGGCCUCCCCACCCGAUGCAAAGCCUUUGUUUCAUCUCACAAGGGACAGAAAGUUGCGUGACACAGCCGAGGACUGGUGUGCUCCAUGUUUAAUUCAGCCGGCCUUGGCAGCCAUCUGCAUUGGUGGGUCCGCUGCUGGUGUCGACGGCGCAGCAAAUGUCGGAACGAAAUGUGGCGGCGAGGUGUUUGCGCGGCACACGUUGUGCUUUUUGUGCAUUGCACGUCGCUCCCACGUUUCAUCUCGAGCCAAAACAAGCAAACAAUGGCCGCACGCUUUGCGCCGUCUUUGCUCUUUUUUUUUUACCCAAAAUCGUCUCGCCUUCACGUGCUCCUUUUCUCUCAAAUGUGCCUCCCCCCUUUGCCGCAGUGCAAUGCAGAUUCCCCACAGCAUGGAGGUAUGCUGGAGAUAGGCGGGGUACCAUGAAUAAUUGUUGAAGAUAUUUUUACUCUGACCCACUUUGGAGUCCCUUUUCGCCCCCCUUAAAGGUGCCGCAGCCUUAAGUCAACACAGCGCUUGAAUCAACCCCAAAAAAACAUUUCAGUUGAGCCUAUAUUGUGUCUAAAAUCCCACAGUGAAGAUCUGACAACAUGGGCCACGCUGAAAUGGCCUUCAAAUAGAGCGGAGGAUCGUCACGGUGCCUUUAGCCCGGAGUCUUCCUCGCACUCUCAAAUAUGCAACUAUAGGUGAUUUUGCACUUUCUUUUAUACAAGCGUGUUUUCUUCGGUCUGGUGGUUGUAUUGUUGCACCUUCAAGCUGAGAGGCGGCGUUUGUUGUUCCCAGUUAGCAUAAUUUGAUGGCAGCAUCCAAGUGAGAUGCUCAGCUUUUACUCUUUUUUUUUUCUGAAAGAGUCUUUAGACCCACUUGCUUUACGCUCGUUCCAACAGUUUAGAUAUAAGCUUCAUGAAACUCCCGUAAAUAACGGGGUGGUUGCUCAAUGUUCAUCAUUUUUUACAUUGCAUGAAGAAAGAAGAUAAAAACCUCUUACGUAUGUUUUAUAAUGACAGCAGCCGAAAUAAGAAGUUAAUUGGAGACAAAACAGUGUUUGAACCAGUUAUUAACCCUGUAAAUACAAAGGUUUGUUACACGUUAACUCGAUUGGCCUUUUGGAAAUGAUUAUGGUUGUUAUGCUGACAUUGUAAUUGAUGGUAGCUAUUUUAAAAUCCUCGAUGAUGGGAUCAGGUCAUGUCUGUGGCGGCGUGUUACUCCGUGGUUAAAACCUCCUUCUUGAAAUCAACCUGCGUCAGUGCAACAAUGGAAAGAGACAGGUGUGCACGUUGGAAGGAAAUGACUCAACGACCAAUGACAAGGGAUGUUUUUGAUGAGUUGGACUCCUAUAAUUCCACUUCAGAUUGAAGAAGGUUUUCUCACCUCAAGAACUUUGACUGCUAAUUGAAUAUUCUGGAUGAGCUCUGCUGUCGAGGACAUCAAGAUUUAUUACGAUAAAAGCAACUCAAGCCUUGGAAAAGACUUGGUAAUCAACGGUCUAUUGUGUUUUUGAGUACUUGUGUUUAGAUAAGGACUUAAAUCAUCCACUGUUAUUAUCUAUUUAAAGUAAUGUUUUAGUGGGCUUUAUUGAACGACAUUCCCCUCCUUAAACACAUUGGGCGAUGAGAGGGGACGUGGUUUCCUGCAACUGCCUCUAAUAACAGCAGGACAGAGUUUUAUAGUCAGCCGUGAUUAAAUUAGAAACAUGGAAGACAUAAACAUGUUUGUGAGUGCUUUAGUUGUGAAGACUUCCGUAACUGCUGUUCGGAUUUUGAGGAUUGUUUGUUUUCAUCCUCAAUUUAUCAACGUAAUUGCGUCAUGAAAUCCAGUGAGUGAAUCCAUUGAGCGACCUGUCCAUCACAGUAAGCCCCGCCCUAAAGCAUACCCUGCUAAUAGUAUGUAUAGUUUAUUUGACUGUAAAUAAUUUAAGACCAUACACUCCUGCUUGCAAUGUUUACUGAGGGAUGAAUCAAGAGUGGUUUUCUCAUAGAAUCCUAUGGGACCAGAGGAGUCGCCUCCUUGUGGUCAUUAGAGAGAAUGCAGCUUUAACACGUGACGCAUUAACUCUCCUUAUCAGGUCCAACAAUUGCCACCUGUGGAGGACUUGAUUGAAAAUGUUGUGUAAUUCUGCUGCUCAUCAGUGCGAAGACAGACUCACAAACACACACACACACACACACACACACACAGACAAACAGGUACUUAAGUGAAGUCAGGCAUAUGUACAGGAGAUGGGAAAUAGGGAAAAUAACUGGGAUAAUAAAUAUAUGCACUUACGGCAAAGUAUGGUUAUUUUCAUUGCACCUUUCGACAACCAGGUAAUUCAAAGUGCUUCACAGAAGAUUAACAAAGGAUAGAAAAGACACAAGGCAAUAUAAAGAAAAAGAAAAAAUACGAAGAACCCAUUAAACAGGAUUUUAAAACAGUGGAAUAAUAAAUAAGAUUCAAAUCUCUUAGUAGUUUGACAAACAUACAGGGUGCAUUAAAGCUGGAUCCUGGCACUCAGUGUUGAGUGUUGCAGAGUUGUCCAAAGUGAGCUUAGAGGUCUGCACGGUUCAUAACAAAGAAGAAGAUGCUUUACAAACUAAUACUAGAAUUCUAAAGUACAUUUUUUGACCAGAAUCACGCUGGAUUGAUGUGACUCACCUGAGUCAAUAACAACACAGACACUGCUCGCCUUGUUUGUGCUUUCAAACGUUAACAACUAGCUUGUGCUUCUAAGUCUGCUUAGAUGAAGAAGCACCUCAAAUCACUGACUUGUUCGAUGCACUUCUCAGUGCUGGUGUUGGGACAGAGUCGCCUGGUGACAAUGUUGUAUAAAUAUCAGUUAUAUUGAUAAAAUAUGAGCUAAUCGGAGCAUAAACAGAUUGAACAGAAGAGGACCGAGCACGUAGCCUUGGGGUACUCCAAGUAAUCUUUUGUAUGUAAGCUACUGUAAUUACCAAUCGACAAGGAGUAUAGUCCCGAUCUAGGAUUCAAACCGGCACCGUGUUACUUCACUUUUCUGGUCUGUUUGGUACGUCGGGUUAGCUUUUAUGAGCAAUACUAGUUAAUAACAAUACAUUACAGCGGUAUUUUCCACAUACAAACACUGUUGUGACAUUUUCAUAGAUUCACCGGCUUUGUUUGUAUCGCCGAUUUAACGAGACAGAAGUAAAAAGUACUCAUAAAAACCCUGUACAGCUUUCCUGUUCAAAUGGAAUGUCAAAUAUUUGUAUCUCUUUGAAUAUGAUAACUGACUCCAUCCUCGUGAAAUUUGUGACGUUUAUCUGCAGGUUGAAACAGUUGAAUGAAUAGACGGCACAGUAUUAAAAUCUCAGACACAUGUGGUUCUUAUAUAAACUGAUUUGACCCGGUAUACAAUAGACUAUAAUUCACAGGCAGGGGAAUGUCUAGAGACACCACAGUGUUCUUUGUGAUCCAUCAUGGAGACUUCAGACGUGACUCUUGACUUGAACUUGUGAAAAUAUAAAGAUGAAAAUGAUCUCUGGGAAAAGGGCUCAGAGGUAAUAUAUUCUCUUUUAAGGAUGCUCUGUUUGAACACAAUUGUUCAUAACAACUGGUUUAUUUAUAGUCAAAGCCAUUUUAAAAAAGGCUUUGGAAGAAUACAAAGAAAUCAGAUUUUAACAAUUUACUUGAUGUCGAAUUUUUGAGGAAUCCUUUUGGUGCCGGUCAGACAGCGAGUGUUUGGAUGGAGAAUGUUAUUGUGCUGAUCUCAGAGCGGAACUCAUUGUGCUCCAGAGCUGCUUUCCACGGCGUCCUCUGAUUCCUUCUUCCUCUUAAAUCUCUCAUGAAAAAUCUUUUAUGACAUUUGUUUUGUGUCAGGCUCUUAAAUAUAGAUGACAAUUCCCCCAAAAACACAAGCGAACGUGAACGCUGACCCGACGUGAGCUCCGUGCACCAAUUUCCAGCUCAUCGCCUCUGUUAUCUCGCCUUGCUCAUCCUUUCUCUCAGCCCCCGGCCCUGCAAAAUAGUUUCUUUUUCCACCUCCCAUGCCUGCCCCCCCCAUCCCACCCCCCAUAUAGCUCCCAAUGUGAAAAGUCACCCACAGUUUUCCUGCUAGGGUUUUUGCGGACAGGAAGUCCAUGUUUAAUGAAGUGACUCUCUUGUUAAAACGCUUUUAAGUGCUGCUGUUCAGGGCUUCAGGCUGGAGGG
Long non-coding RNA from Gasterosteus aculeatus aculeatus (three-spined stickleback), 6527 nucleotides. NCBI's taxonomy places the organism in Eukaryota, Metazoa, Chordata, Actinopteri, Perciformes, Gasterosteidae. The record is from Ensembl.